AAGCACCCACUGAACACCCUGCCAAGCAGUCGGAUUUUGGAAGUGUCAGCCCACAGAGUCACCAACACUGACAUCAACUUCCUGGUGAAAUGUCUGGGCAGCAUCCCCACUUCAGCCUGUACCAUCGUGUCAGACCCCAGCUGCACUCAGGUACGCAACAUCAUGUGCAACGAUGUGCCGCCUCUCUCGGAGUGCAAAGUGCAUCUGACGCGAAGAUUUCUGGAACCGGGCACCUACUGUGUGAACAUCACUUUGGAGAACUCCAGCAGCUUGACCCUUACCAGCACCACCAUCACCAUCAACAAGUCCCAGGACACACCUGUGUCCACAACCUCUCACACUGCCCAAGUCGUUCUCUCCUCAAGUGCUGUUCUGGGG
This is a non-coding RNA of Maylandia zebra (zebra mbuna), 378 nucleotides long. The record is from RefSeq and is a predicted model, not a curated record. Lineage: Eukaryota; Metazoa; Chordata; Actinopteri; Cichliformes; Cichlidae.